UACAGAGGUCCCAAGCGUUGUUCGGAUUCACUGGGCGUAAAGGGUGCGUAGGUGGCGAGGAAAGUCGGAUGUGAAAGCUCGGAGCUCAACUCCGAAAUGGCAUUGGAAACUACCUUGCUCGAGGGUUGGAGGGGGGACUGGAAUACUUGGUGUAGCAGUGAAAUGCGUAGAUAUCAAGUGGAACACCAGUGGCGAAGGCGAGUCCCUGGACAACUCCUGACACUGAGGCACGAAAGCUAGGGGAGCAAACAGG
RNAcentral lists this ribosomal RNA (253 nucleotides) under uncultured bacterium. RNAcentral's name for it is "partial 16S ribosomal RNA". It matches the Rfam family "Bacterial small subunit ribosomal RNA", at positions 524 to 776 of the family's 1533-position model. The record is from RNAcentral.